GUCUCUAUAGCUCAGUGGCAGAGCGCAGGUCUCAUAGUUUCUAUGACCGUCUGAUUCAUCAGCGGGUAAUCCUGAGGUCGACGGUUCGAUGCCGCCUAGGGACA
This 104-nucleotide transfer RNA is filed under the name Pyricularia grisea. RNAcentral describes it as "Magnaporthe grisea tRNA". It matches the Rfam family "tRNA". Rfam says of the family: Transfer RNA (tRNA) molecules are approximately 80 nucleotides in length. Their secondary structure includes four short double-helical elements and three loops (D, anti-codon, and T loops). Lineage: Eukaryota; Fungi; Ascomycota; Sordariomycetes; Magnaporthales; Pyriculariaceae. The record is from Rfam by way of RNAcentral.